This 84-nucleotide ribosomal RNA is filed under the name Paenibacillus oryzisoli. RNAcentral's name for it is "Paenibacillus sp. 1ZS3-15 partial 23S ribosomal RNA". It matches the Rfam family "Bacterial large subunit ribosomal RNA", at positions 2844 to 2925 of the family's 2925-position model. Lineage: Bacteria; Bacillati; Bacillota; Bacilli; Caryophanales; Paenibacillaceae. The record is from RNAcentral.
ACGACGAGGUUGAUAGGUUCGAGGUGGAAGUGCGGUAACGUAUGCAGCUGACGAAUACUAAUCGGUCGAGGGCUUAACCAAUAA